GACCUCGGAUCAGGUAGGGAUACCCGCUGAACUUAAGCAUAUCAAUAAGCGGAGGAAAAGAANCCAACAGGGAUUGCCUCAGUAACGGCGAGUGAAGCGNCAACAGCUCAAAUUUGAAAUCUGCCUCUAGGCCGAGUUGUAAUUUGUAGAAGAUGCUUCGGGUGUGGCACUGGUCUAAGUUCCUUGGAACAGGACGUCAUAGAGGGUGAGAAUCCCGUACGUGACUGGCUGCCUUCGCCUAUGUGAAGCUCUUUCGACGAGUCGAGUUGUUUGGGAAUGCAGCUCAAAAUGGGUGGUAUAUUUCAUCUGAAGCUAAAUAUUGGCCAGAGACCGUUAGCGCACAAGUAGAGUGAUCGAAAGAUGAAAAGCACUUUGGAAAGAGAGUUAAACAGUACGUGAAAUUGUUGAAAGGGAAGCGCUUGCAAUCAGACUUGCGCGCCGUCGAUCAUCCGAGGUUUUCCCCGGUGCACUCGGCGGUGCUCAGGCCAGCAUCGGUUUCGGUGGUUAGAUAAAGGCCUUGGGAAUGUAGCUCCCCCGGGAGUGUUAUAGCCCUCGGUGCAAUGUAGCCUAUCGGGACCGAGGACCGCGCUUCGGCUAGGAUGCUGGCGUAAUGGUUGUAAGCGACC
RNAcentral lists this ribosomal RNA (626 nucleotides) under uncultured fungus. RNAcentral's name for it is "eukaryotic LSU rRNA". It matches the Rfam family "Eukaryotic large subunit ribosomal RNA", at positions 1 to 649 of the family's 3401-position model. The record is from RNAcentral. Lineage: Eukaryota; Fungi.